AUAACUUCCACGAAAACAGGCUAAUGGCCGAAGAUUAGCCGAUAUUAUAGAAAUGUCAAACGAGAGAAAAAUCAUCUAUAAUUAAAUGUUACCUCCCGUAUAUCUGACCCAGAAUGAGCAUUCCUCAUCACGUACUGUGGUUUUCAUACUGGAUUCAACGAGGAAUAAGGGAUAUCGUGUUGCUCAGAAGGAUAACGAAUACAGAUGGUGGAAAUUAUAUGGAACGUGGUCGAGUAACCUCGCUCUGACUGUCGUCUUUCCUGGCUUCUAUUAUGCACUAGUGGUUCACUCAAUACUGUUUAUGAAGGCCACAGGAUUUUGCACAAAUUCAAGAAAAUAUUUAGCGAAAUGGCUGAAGGACUCGGAAAAAAAUUUGGCAAUUGCAAAUUCUUCGAAGUCACCCAAUAUGACAAAGAAAAUCCCAUUUGAAUAGACGUUUACAUUAAUUUUCGUAAUGAUU
This is a long non-coding RNA of Diachasma alloeum, 460 nucleotides long. RefSeq lists it as uncharacterized. The transcript has 3 exons. NCBI's taxonomy places the organism in Eukaryota, Metazoa, Arthropoda, Insecta, Hymenoptera, Braconidae. The record is from RefSeq and is a predicted model, not a curated record.